RNAcentral lists this long non-coding RNA (625 nucleotides) under Homo sapiens (human). RNAcentral describes it as "HSALNT0155718". The record is from RNAcentral. Lineage: Eukaryota; Metazoa; Chordata; Mammalia; Primates; Hominidae.
CCGAGCCGCCAGAGGCGCCUGCUCGGGUUCAGCCUUGCGCCUCGGCAGCCCGCCGGCUCCCAGUCCGGCUCCACGGGCGCUGCAGGUGACCCGGCGGCGCAUUCCAGCACUCCCCGCCGCCCGGGCCACCGCCGCCACCGCCACCGCAGGCGCCCCGGCCGCGACUCAGCCACAGGAAAGCGGAGAGCGCCCGAGCCGUCCCGGCCGGCAGGGUCCUUCAGUCGAUCGCGUCGUUUUUCCUCCUUUCAAAUUUCGGCCGGAACGAAGCCGGCACGCAGCGGCGGGGCCGAAUGUGGUCCGCCCUCAGCCCAAGCCGCAUGAAGUCGGGGGUGAAAGAAGAGGCCGGCCGAAUGCGCCCGCUAACUCGUUUCGCAGUUGUUCUAACUUAUCACCCCAAUACUCCCUACCUAAACAAAACAAAUCCUCAACCAACCCCUAAAUCCCAAACAAACCAACCCCUCCCGCAAGCCCCUCCGGACGGACCGAUGGGCUGAGCCUCCUCCAGCCGCUGCCAGGGUCCGACGGGCAAGCGUCACCAACGAUGCGCUCCAGCCCGGCAAUCUCCUCGGCUUUGGAAAUAGAAUUUGGAAAAACGAAUCCUUUUCAUUAAAGAAAAAUCUUCGGA